CCCUGGCUCAGGACGAACGCUGGCGGCAUGCCUAAUACAUGCAAGUCGAGCGGAGUUCUGUUGAAAGCUUGCUUUCAACAGGAUUUAGCGGCGGACGGGUGAGUAACACGUAGGCAACCUGCCCCAUAGCCUGGGAUAACUACCGGAAACGGUAGCUAAUACCGGAUAAUUCCUUUCCCCUCCUGGGGAGAGGAUGAAAGACGGAGCAAUCUGUCGCUGAGGGAUGGGCCUGCGGCGCAUUAGCUAGUUGGUGGGGUAAUGGCUCACCAAGGCGACGAUGCGUAGCCGACCUGAGAGGGUGAACGGCCACACUGGGACUGAGACACGGCCCAGACUCCUACGGGAGGCAGCAGUAGGGAAUCUUCCGCAAUGGGCGCAAGCCUGACGGAGCAAUGCCGCGUGAGUGAUGAAGGUUUUCGGAUCGUAAAGCUCUGUUGCCAGGGAAGAACGUCUUAUAGAGUAACUGCUAUAAGAGUGACCGGUACCUGAGAAGAAAGCCCCGGCUAACUA
RNAcentral lists this ribosomal RNA (510 nucleotides) under Paenibacillaceae bacterium CL5.104. Its description in RNAcentral is "bacterial SSU rRNA". It matches the Rfam family "Bacterial small subunit ribosomal RNA", at positions 17 to 503 of the family's 1533-position model. Lineage: Bacteria; Bacillati; Bacillota; Bacilli; Caryophanales; Paenibacillaceae. The record is from RNAcentral.